RNAcentral lists this ribosomal RNA (253 nucleotides) under uncultured bacterium. RNAcentral's name for it is "partial 16S ribosomal RNA". It matches the Rfam family "Bacterial small subunit ribosomal RNA", at positions 524 to 776 of the family's 1533-position model. The record is from RNAcentral.
UACGUAGGCAGCGAGCGUUGUUCGGAAUUACUGGGCGUAAAGAGUGUGUAGGUGGUGCUCUAAGUUCGGUGUGAAAUCUCCCGGCUUAACUGGGAGGGUGCGCCGAAAACUGGAGUGCUCGAGCGUGGGAGAGGAAAGCGGAAUUCCUGGUGUAGCGGUGAAAUCCGUAAAUAUACGAAGGAACGCCAAAAGCGAAGGCAGCUCUCUGGGUCCCUACCGACGCUGGGGUGCGAAAGCAUGGGGAGCGAACAGG